This 739-nucleotide non-coding RNA is filed under the name Homoneura mayrhoferi. The record is from RNAcentral. Lineage: Eukaryota; Metazoa; Arthropoda; Insecta; Diptera; Lauxaniidae.
AUGCAAAUUUUAGUGAGAAUUUUUAUUUAUUUUAAAAAUAAAUAAGUUUUAUUAUAGUCGCAGUAAUUAAUAUUAUUGAUUAAAGAAAUUUAGAAAUAGAUAUAUUAUUAAAUAUUGGCUAAAUUUGUGCCAGCAGCCGCGGUUAUACAAAUGAUGUAAAAGAAUUUUUUUAAUAUAAGUUAAAUUGAAAUUUUAAAAUAUAAUAGUGUUUAUUAGGUGAAAUUUUAAAUAUUAAAAAUUUUUAAAAUAAGGAUAAUUGAAGCUUGUAAAAUUUAUAUAAAAACUAGGAUUAGAUACCCUAUUAUUAAAUUGUAAAAUUAAAAAUUUGAGUAGUAUUAGUUAUGAUCUUGAAACUUAAAGAAUUUGGCGGUAUUUUAGUCUAUUCAGAGGAACCUGUUCUGUAAUCGAUAAUCCACGAUGGACCUAACUUAAAUUAGUUAAUCAGUUUAUAUACCGUCGUUAUCAGAAUAUUUUGUAAAAAUAAUAAUUUUCUAAAAUUUUAAUUAAAAUAUAUAUCAGAUCAAGGUGUAGCUUAUAUUUAAGUAGAAAUGGGUUACAAUAAAUUUAUUUAUAUGGAUUUAAAUAUGAAAAAUUUAUUGAAAGUGGAUUUGAUAGUAAAAUUAUAAAGAUAAAUAAUUUGAUUAUAGCUCUAAAAUAUGUACACAUCGCCCGUCGCUCUUAUUACUAAGAUAAGAUAAGUCGUAACAUAGUAGAGGUACUGGAAAGUGUAUCUAGAAUG